GCCUCACAUCACUCCCCCUCCCCUCCCUUUCCAUCUCUUUUCUCUCUCACCACAACUCUCUUUCUUUGUGUGAUACACACAUACACACACACACAAACAGGUAUACAUUUUUCACUUACAACCUACAUAUUUUAAUUUCCAUCAACGCCAUGUUGGAUUAAACACUAAUACUGUACAUAAACAAAUCGAUGUAGGAGUAGCCUAUAGACAUUGUGUUCUGUGCAUUGAACAUUGUAGCCAAGCCUAUCUAGCCUUUGGUAUCUUUGGUAUCCAUACUCAUAAAUCCACCUGUAUCCUUGGCCAUUAAACUCGAGAAAAUUGAAAGUACACUUGCAACAAGUUGCUCAUAGUGCAGAAAAAAAAGAUGUUAUAUAGUUAUCAUUCAUAACAGCCUGUCCUACACACAUUUUGCCUGUUUAAUGUGUGCAUUUGCAUUGUAGUAUCUGAGUUUACCUUUGCAAUGAAACAGAAACCAUUAUUACUGGGGUGGUCUAAAGGCAUACUAAAGAGAUGCGUUUGGGGAUGUCAAUAUGCCUUUAAAGCUCAGCGAGUUUUUGUCCUAGAAUCAUAAAAAGAUCACCCCCAGAAACCUUUAAUCUUCUACAUAUAUGCUACAAAAACAUCAAGGCAUGUCAGACUACCGAAAAAAGUCUAACAGGCCUUAGUCCCCUAGAUGCAUUCAUGGUGAUUAGCUAACUCACAGCAACAGAUUGUGGAGAAAUACAGCACGUUUCCAAGUUAAGGGUCCUUUCAUAGACAUUAAGGGUUUUAACACGAUGGAUAUCACUGAUUGAUAUCAGUAUAUUCGGAGAAAUGAAAACAACUUUGCAGUUCAUUACCUUAGAAAAAUGUCCCUCAACUCAACAAGGUGGCACUAUGAAAAUGUUGCAUAUUACAUUAUAGAGUAUACUCUACUUGGUGCUGCAGGCCUCUGUGUGUGUGUGUGUGUGUGUGUGUGUGUGUGUGUGUGUGUGUGUGUGUGUGUGUGUGUGUGUGUUAUAUAUAUAUGUGUGUGUGUGUGUGUGUGUGUGUGUGUCUGUGUGUGUGUGUGUGUGUGUGUGUGUGAAUAAGUUCAGAUUUGCAUAAUGAAUGUAUUUAUCUGUCCAUGCAUGUGUGUGUGUGGGGGGGGUGUGAGUGUGAGUGCACACGCAUGCAUCUGCCUGUUUAUUUAGUGAAGUCCAGCCCAAUAGGUUCCGAUCAGCACCGCCAAGGACACACUGGAUCCCUAGUUUCCCUCCCGUGGAGAGUCCAACCAGCACCACCAAGGACACACUGGAUCCCUAGUUUCCCUCCCGUGGAGAGUCCAACCAGCACCACCAAGGACACACUGGAUCCCUGGUUUCACCCCUGUGGAGAGUGCUUGUCCAGACACUUGUGAUAGCUCGCCGUGCUGUCAGGUAGGCACCUUCAGAUAAGAGCGCCGACUCGGAGACUGAAUGUAAAAGCUCACUGUCUCAUCCAUCAAACUGUUCUCUGGAGUAGGACUGAGGUCACAGCAUGUCCAGGCCGAGGGCUUGGAAUAAGGGAAGAUUGAGGCCUGGCUUAGGUGAACUGUGGCUGACUGUUCAGUGGGAUAGAAAGGGGAUUUGUUUGUUGCUGUACGCGUUACAAUAAAUCUUAUAGAGAACCCUCUAGAAUUCUUCAGUGAUCUUUCUUUCUAACAUCUCGUUGUUUUAUAUUCCACCUCUGUAUCAACCUAUGACCAACCCAGCCAAUUCUCUUUUUUUCAGACGGUGUCCGGAAAGGCUAAAUGCAACUUCAUUCAUUAAUUAAAUGAAUAGAUUAAUAGAUUUAUUAAUUCUAUUUUGUAAUGUAAUUUUAGCCUGUCUUGCAGAGGGCCACAGAGCACUCAGGUGCC
Clupea harengus (Atlantic herring) is the source of this 1858-nucleotide long non-coding RNA. NCBI's taxonomy places the organism in Eukaryota, Metazoa, Chordata, Actinopteri, Clupeiformes, Clupeidae. The record is from Ensembl.